AACGAACGCUGGCGGCAUGCCUAACACAUGCAAGUCGAACGAGACCUUCGGGUCUAGUGGCGCACGGGUGCGAAACGCGUGGGAACCUGCCCUUAGGUUCGGAAUAACUCCCCGAAAGGGGUGCUAAUACCGGAUAAUGUCUUCGGACCAAAGAUUUAUCGCCUUUGGAUGGGCCCGCGUUGGAUUAGCUAGUUGGUAGGGUAAAAGCCUACCAAGGCGACGAUCCAUAGCUGGUCUGAGAGGAUGAUCAGCCACACUGGGACUGAGACACGGCCCAGACUCCUACGGGAGGCAGCAGUGGGGAAUAUUGGACAAUGGGCGAAAGCCUGAUCCAGCAAUGCCGCGUGAGUGAUGGAGGCCUUAGGGUUGUAAAGCUCUUUUACCCGGGAUGAUAAUGACAGUACCGGGAGAAUAAGCUCCGGCUAACUCCGUG
This 433-nucleotide ribosomal RNA is filed under the name uncultured bacterium. RNAcentral describes it as "partial 16S ribosomal RNA". It matches the Rfam family "Bacterial small subunit ribosomal RNA", at positions 29 to 507 of the family's 1533-position model. The record is from RNAcentral.